AGGGGGAAGACUUUCUAGCCCUUGUAUCUUUCAGUUUUUACAAUUCCUGGAUGAACUGCAUUUAUGGUGACUCUGGCAUUUCUUCCCUGCCAUCCCACAAAAAAGAACUCGGGACCACGUCAGGAAUCUACAUGAAAAGUUUGAAACACCUGCCAACCUUGUUAAAAAGCAAUCUUUCCGAAGGGAAAGGAGAGAGGUCAAUUGCAUUUAACUCCAAAGGCAAAGGUUCCAUCUCUCACCUCUUAUAUAUCUC
Cucumis melo (muskmelon) is the source of this 253-nucleotide long non-coding RNA. RefSeq lists it as uncharacterized. The record is from RefSeq and is a predicted model, not a curated record. NCBI's taxonomy places the organism in Eukaryota, Viridiplantae, Streptophyta, Magnoliopsida, Cucurbitales, Cucurbitaceae. The transcript has 3 exons.